AGUGUAGGCGGCUACCUAAGUCGGAUGUGAAAGCCCUGGGCUCAACCUGGGAAUUGCAUUCGAAACUGAGUAGCUAGAGUUUGGUAGAGGUAAGUGGAAUUCCGGGUGUAGCGGUGAAAUGCGUAGAUAUCCGGAGGAACAUCAGUGGCGAAGGCGGCUUACUGGACCAAAACUGACGCUGAGGCUCGAAAGCGUGGGGAGCAAACAGGAUUAGAUACCCUGGUAGUCC
RNAcentral lists this ribosomal RNA (229 nucleotides) under uncultured bacterium. Its description in RNAcentral is "partial 16S ribosomal RNA". It matches the Rfam family "Bacterial small subunit ribosomal RNA", at positions 568 to 796 of the family's 1533-position model. The record is from RNAcentral.